This 779-nucleotide ribosomal RNA is filed under the name uncultured Actinomycetales bacterium. Its description in RNAcentral is "bacterial SSU rRNA". It matches the Rfam family "Bacterial small subunit ribosomal RNA", at positions 400 to 1196 of the family's 1533-position model. The record is from RNAcentral. Lineage: Bacteria; Bacillati; Actinomycetota; Actinomycetes; Actinomycetales.
CGUGCGGGAUGAAGGCCUUCGGGUUGUAAACCGCUUUCAGCAAGGAAGAAGCGAAAGUGACGGUACUUGCAGAAGAAGCACCGGCUAACUAUGUGCCAGCAGCCGCGGUAAUACAUAGGGUGCAAGCGUUGUCCGGAAUUAUUGGGCGUAAAGAGCUCGUAGGUGGUUCGUCACGUCGGAUGUGAAAAUCUGGGGCUUAACCCCAGACCUGCAUUCGAUACGGGCGAGCUAGAGUGUGGUAGGGGAGACUGGAAUUCCUGGUGUAGCGGUGGAAUGCGCAGAUAUCAGGAGGAACACCAAUGGCGAAGGCAGGUCUCUGGGCCAUUACUGACACUGAGGAGCGAAAGCGCGGGGAGCGAACAGGAUUAGAUACCCUGGUAGUCCGCGCCGUAAACGGUGGGCACUAGUUGUGGGAACCUUCCACGGUUUCCGCGACGCAGCUAACGCAUUAAGUGCCCCGCCUGGGGAGUACGAUCGCAAGAUUAAAACUCAAAGGAAUUGACGGGGCCCCGCGCAAGCAGCGGAGCAUGCGGCUUAAUUCGACGCAACGCGAAGAACCUUACCAAGGCUUGACAUAUACAGGAAUAUGGCAGAGAUGUCAUAGCCGCAAGGUCUGUAUACAGGUGGUGCAUGGUUGUCGUCAGCUCGUGUCGUGAGAUGUUGGGUUAAGUCCCGCAACGAGCGCAACCCUCGUUCUGUGUUGCCAGCAUUUAGUUGGGGACUCACAGGAGACUGCCGGGGUUACUCGGAGGAAGGUGGGGAUGACGUCAAAUCAUCAU